RNAcentral lists this long non-coding RNA (1268 nucleotides) under Manacus vitellinus (golden-collared manakin). RNAcentral's name for it is "lncRNA (ENSMVIG00005015834.1)". The record is from RNAcentral. Lineage: Eukaryota; Metazoa; Chordata; Aves; Passeriformes; Pipridae.
CACUGAAGCACAGUGUCAGCAAGGGGCCUUCCCAGGCUCAUUCAGUUCCCCCACAGGCUCAGGAGCAUCACUUUUCUGUCCCUCUGCCCUCAUCAGGUGGUGCUUGUUGGGGACAAACUGAGCUGCAAAAGCAUGAGAGCAGUGAAGAGUCCUCAGGUUCAUCAGCUGCCACCAACUGCUGUCAGCAGCACAGAGCCAAAGGAAUGGGAAGGUACAGACCCCCUCCUGGGAUCCCUGUAUCUUCAGCUGGGGUAACUUCUCCUCAUUUUGGGACAUUCAUAAUAACCCCUCAAACCCAGGUGAUUUCACGUCUGCCCUGCUCACAGGUGUUCUGAUUCUCUAUCUGCUUUUCCUCUUGGUGGCAUUUGCUUGGUUUCCCUGUCACUUGCACACUGUGCUUGCUAUCAGGUCUGGAUACAAACUCAUCAGCUCGGUUUCCAUCGCCUUCUCCGUCUUCCCUCCAGGCUCUGCUUCUUGUUUCCUCUCUUCUUGCACAAACUGCCUCCCCACCCUGGUUUCUGCUGCUCUCACAAGCCCUCUGUCUAGCACACCUUAACCACAGCUGACCAAUUUCUGCACCUGUGGAAAUGAUGGCAAAGAAGCUGACAGCACAUGAGCUCAGCUUUAACUCUCCACCUCAGUGUGGAGGUGCCUGCAGAAGUUGCUGGUGUGAAGAGGAGAGCAAAGAGAGACUAAGGGGCAUCAAGCUUGUCCUCUACACUCUUCACUGUCAGAUCCAUCUCUGUGGCACUUCAGGCAUGCAAAAAGGACGUGUUUAUGUCGUGGGUGCUGUGGAUGUGAAAGAAUGUCUAAACCUAGCAUUCAAACUGUGGAAAAACUGUGAAAUCAGUAAAUACAGAACAGGAACUGAGAAAAAUUUGUGUUCAGCUGUUUCCCUACUGUAGCUUGGAAAAAGAACCUGAAUGGUUUUAACUUGCCUCCAAGUUAGUGUGCUUUUUGUAAUUCUGGGAGAGCUUUGGUGCUGGGAUUGUUAGCAUAACUUGUUCAAAUAUUCCAAGUUCCCACCUCCUCUUACUCAUGACAUGGAAAAACACUCGAAAUCUAUCUAAUCAAAUGCUCACAAGCAGCCAUAUCCCACGGGCAGCUCAGAUAGGCCUGAUGAAAACCACAUUUGCUGACAGCUUUAGCUCAGCUCCUGCCAGCUGAACUGCAGCCUGGCACAUCAUCCUGUCGAAGCCCCGCUGCCCACCACGAUGUCCCCCGGGAUGAGGGGUCUGGCCGGGCAGCAGAGCUCACAGACAAUCCUG